UGGGGAAUUUUGGACAAUGGGCGCAAGCCUGAUCCAGCCAUGCCGCGUGUCUGAAGAAGGCCUUCGGGUUGUAAAGGACUUUUGUCCGGGAGCAAAUGCCUGGUGUUAAUAGCACUGGGAGCUGAGAGUACCGGAAGAAUAAGCACCGGCUAACUACGUGCCAGCAGCCGCGGUAAUACGUAGGGUGCGAGCGUUAAUCGGAAUUACUGGGCGUAAAGCGUGCGCAGGCGGUUUUGUAAGCCAGAUGUGAAAGCCCCGGGCUCAACCUGGGAACUGCGUUUGGAACUACAAGACUAGAGUGUGUCAGAGGGGGGUGGAAUUCCGCGUGUAGCAGUGAAAUGCGAAGAGAUGCGGAGGAACACCGAUGGCGAAGGCAGCCCCCUGGGAUAACACUGACGCUCAUGCACGAAAGCGUGGGGAGCAAACAGGAUUAGAUACCCUGGUAGUCCACGCCCUAAACGAUGUCAAUUAGCUGUUGGGGGUUAGAAUCCUUGGUAGCGUAGCUAACGCGUGAAAUUGACCGCCUGGGGAGUACGGCCGCAAGGUUA
Molecule: ribosomal RNA, 548 nt
Filed under: uncultured bacterium
Lineage: Bacteria
Description: bacterial SSU rRNA
Rfam family: Bacterial small subunit ribosomal RNA
Source: RNAcentral